GGGCCUUAUCACUUUGAAAUACCGGUUCCCGUACGAUUACCGAAGUUAAGCAACGGUGAGCCUGGCCAUAACAAAGAUGGGUGACCGGUUGAGAAUACCAGGUGCUAUA
Non-coding RNA from Acanthosepion pharaonis, 109 nucleotides. The record is from the annotation of a GenBank genome assembly. Lineage: Eukaryota; Metazoa; Mollusca; Cephalopoda; Sepiida; Sepiidae.